Molecule: small nuclear RNA, 126 nt
Filed under: Capra hircus (goat)
Lineage: Eukaryota; Metazoa; Chordata; Mammalia; Artiodactyla; Bovidae
Description: U4 spliceosomal RNA (ENSCHIG00010031803.1, ENSCHIG00040026106.1)
Rfam family: U4 spliceosomal RNA
About the family: U4 small nuclear RNA (U4 snRNA) is a component of the major U2-dependent spliceosome. The structure of U4 snRNA from yeast and human has been reported.
Source: Rfam by way of RNAcentral
AGCUUUGCACAGUGGCAGUAUCAUAACCAGUGAGGUUUACAAGGUGUGAUUAUUGCUAAUUGAAAAAAAAAGAUAGACAAACUUAAAUGUAAAAUGUAAAACUAUAGAACUUCUAGAAAACAAUGU